GACUGUUUGGAUUGUAACUCCUAGUGUGCCUGUUGUUGAUUAAUUAAUAAACAAAUAAAUCGUUAUAUUUAGCCUGAUAUCUCACUACAAGACCAUAAAAGAGAAAAUGUUAAAAAAGAAUUUUGUGUGCCUCGCCAUAAGGGAGGGUUACUCAGAGACACAAGAAACGAGUACUAGAAGUGGCAUCCAAAUGGCUCAGAGUAGGUAUGUGUAUACAUUUUUAAAAGAUGAGUAGCAUUAUGAAUAUGCUCUCUUCGCCUCCUCCUUUCCUCCUCUUUCUCCCAUCAGGUGCCUUGUCCUUGUUCUCCCCUCUCAUUUGCUGAUGGCUGAUAACACCUUAUCUCCACCAGGGAAGCAACCGGGAAGUUUGCUCCUUCCUCACAAGACUGAGGGUAUAAUUAGAACAACGCACCUGCUCAGUCCUCCGGUGACUCAGUUAGUCUACAUCCAUGUCAAAAUCCAUGCUGUGAGGGGAUACUUACAGGCUUCAACUGAGAUCAGGGUCUUGUUGUAUGAGACAAUACAGAAACAUGCAAUAAAAGAAUUCUAGUCCCAGGAGCCUUGUAAGCUAAAUAAAGGCUGGGAGAAAGGAAAUAUUACCCCCAUUUUACAGAUGGGAAACCGAAGCUCUGACAAUCUUUCCAUACAACGCAGUGCAGUGUCAUACAGCAAUACUGAAGAGAGAGUUCUGAAAAAGCAACAAAGUCCAGAAUCUGUGCAAAAUAAAGGCUGACUUAAACCCCGUUGUACUGGCAAGCAGCCAUAGCCUGGAAUCUCCUGCGUUAGAAUACUUUUCCUCAUUUAAUUUGCUCCUCCCAGAAGACCCUGUAAAAUCCUGCUCAGGAGCCGACAGAGGGUAUUCACUCAAGACCAAGCGGCAGAGAAGCACUUUGGUAUUCCCUGAAGACAUAGCAGAAACAAGUG
Aquila chrysaetos chrysaetos is the source of this 924-nucleotide long non-coding RNA. RefSeq lists it as uncharacterized. The record is from RefSeq and is a predicted model, not a curated record. NCBI's taxonomy places the organism in Eukaryota, Metazoa, Chordata, Aves, Accipitriformes, Accipitridae. The transcript is spliced from 3 exons.